Perognathus longimembris pacificus (Pacific pocket mouse) is the source of this 793-nucleotide RNA transcript. It is a transcript of the gene named 60S ribosomal protein L3-like, with no coding region annotated. The record is from RefSeq and is a predicted model, not a curated record. NCBI's taxonomy places the organism in Eukaryota, Metazoa, Chordata, Mammalia, Rodentia, Heteromyidae. The transcript is spliced from 2 exons.
AUGAGAACACCAAGCAUCGAGGAAGCUCCAGUGUGUGAGAGGAUCCUGGCCCAGGAAUCAGAUGACCAUAGCCAUGAACAUGAACUCAGGCUGGCUUUAAACCUUGAGCCUCUGGAGCAGCAGGUCCCAGUGAACCAAGUGUUUGGGCAGGACGAGAUGAUCGAUGUCAUCUGGGUCACCAAGGGCAAGGGGUACAAAGGUGUCACCAGCCACUGGCAUACCAAGAAACUGCCCCACAAGACUCACCGAGGCCUGCAUAAGGUUGCCUGCAUUGGAGCAUGGCAUCCUGCCUGUGUGGCCUUCUCUGUGGCCCAGGCUGGUCAGAAAGGCUACCACCAACGCACUGAGAUCAACAAGAAGAUCUACAAGAUUGGCCAGGGCUACCUGAUCAAGGAUGGCAAACUAAUCAAGAACAAUGCCUCCACUGACUAUGACCUGUCAGACAAGAGCAUCAACCCACUGGGUGGCUUUGUUCACUAUGGUGAAGUGACCAAUGACUUCGUUAUGCAGAAAGGCUGUGUGGUGGGAACCAAGAAGCACAUGCUCACCCUGCGUAAGUCCUUGCUGGUGCAGACUAAACGGCAGGCUCUAGAGAAGAUUGACCUCAAGUUCAUCGACACUAUCUCCAAGUUUGGUCAUGCCGCUUCCAGACUAUGGAAGAGAAGAAAGCAUUCAUGGGACCACUUAAGAAAGACCGCAUUGCCAAGGAAGAAGGUGCAUAAAGCCAAGGCAUCCAGUGCACAUCCUGCCGAUGGUGGCAUUUUAAUAAACAUUCCCAAUGUCAAAAAAAAAA